CCUACGGGUGGCAGCAGUGAGGAAUAUUGGUCAAUGGCCGGAAGGCUGAACCAGCCAUGCCGCGUGAAGGUCAGUGCCCUAUGGGCGUUAAACUUCUUUUGUGCGGGAGCAAUAAUGGUCACGUGUGGCCAGACGAGAGUACCGUACGAAUAAGCAUCGGCUAACUCCGUGCCAGCAGCCGCGGUAAUACGGGGGAUGCAAGCGUUAUCCGGAUUUAUUGGGUUUAAAGGGUGCGUAGGCUGUGAGGUAAGUCAGCGGUGAAAUGCCCCCGCUCAACGGGGUGAAGUGCCAUUGAUACUGCCUUGCUGGAAUGCGGAUGCCGUGGGAGGAAUGUGUGGUGUAGCGGUGAAAUGCUUAGAUAUGACGAAGAACCCCGAUUGCGAAGGCAGCUUGCUGCAGCGGAACUGACGCUGAUGCUCGAAAGCGCGGGUAUCGAACAGGAUUAGAUACCCGUGUAGUC
RNAcentral lists this ribosomal RNA (460 nucleotides) under uncultured bacterium. Its description in RNAcentral is "partial 16S ribosomal RNA". It matches the Rfam family "Bacterial small subunit ribosomal RNA", at positions 338 to 795 of the family's 1533-position model. The record is from RNAcentral.